AUACAACAGGAAAAAUGGAGAAUGGAUAGUGAGGGGUGAUCAGCAGGCUCUGCCAUGACAACCAGCAGUGCCUUCUUGCUGCAUCCUCUGGAGAGAAGGAGCCCUGCGUCCUCAGGGAAGGCAGAAGGGCAGGCAAGCCGGAUACUGUGAUGGUGCCUCUUCCAUUCACAAGGGAGGAGCCCUCACAGCCUUGUCAUCACCUCCUAAAGGCCUUGCCUUUUAAUUUGAUCACAUGGGCCAUGAAGUUUCAACACCUGAAUUUUGGCAGAAAUGCAUUCAAACCACAGCAGACCCAUUAUCCUCUUUCUAAGGAACCUGGAAUAAGACAAGUCCAUAGGACAGGCAUGGACAAGCGUCCUGAGCCCUGGGGCCAGGGGAAAUCCAAGGUAACAAGGGAAAUUGGCGAUCCCAGCCAGGUGCAUGGCUAGAGCAGUUCUUUCCUUUGGAAGGGCAGCGAUGGAAAUUUCAGCUCUACUUUUUCCUUUUCCCAAGCUGUGUGAUCUUGAGCAGCUUCCUUGCAGCUCAUCCUUCAUGGCCUAAAACAGAUGAUACAGCAACAUCAGCAAGGUGGCAGACUAAGGAGCUUCAGAUACUACUUACUACACCCAGAAACAUUUUUUAAAAACAAUUAGAGGACCUAUGGAAAAUAGUGAAAAGGUACAGGAGCCAAGCAACUGCCCAUUCAAGAAAAAGCAACAUUCAAAAUGCAGGAGAUUUUGUGGAUUUGUACUCCCCCUUUCUGCACCCUUCCCUGGCACUAAGCAGUGUUGGUUUGGAGGAGGUGGCAGCCCAGCUCCCAGUUCCUUCCCUCUCAUGCUAGUGAGCAGAGUCCAACCUGUCUGGGGAUGGCUUGAAGGAUUAGUCCUGCUUUGUUCAACUCAGGGCUCAGAAUAAGAGAAGCAGGUUAAUUCAGAUUGCAGGCUGAGAAAAAGCUAUGGAAAGCAGCAGAAACUGCUCUUAAAAACUGCAGGGAGGCUACAGAGUCUGAAGAUGCCUGGGCAAGAGAUUUCAAAUGGAAGCAUGUAAUAAACCCUCUAAGGGCACACAAAGAAGCCAGAACAAGACUUUUGGAAAAUUAAGAUGUCUAAAAGGAGCCAUGUUUAUGGGGAAAUAAUUAAAGCCACGUGAAGGCUCAGACAAGAUGCAUACUCAGAAAAGACCUGAGAAGAUCUUAAGCUACUCCUUGGGCUGACUCCAAGGCUCAGAACAUGUCCUGAGAAUUAGUGAAGAUCUUCCCCAUCACAUAGCCUGUCCGCAAAUACUAGGAGAAGUAGCUGUUUUUUCAAAUUCUUAAUUCUCAACAACAACAACAAAAAAAUCACAAGGCGUACAAAGACACCAGAAAUACAACUUCUUCAGGGAAGAAAAUGAAUUGUCGGAAACCACCGGUAAAUCCAAGAAAAUGAUGGAGGGACCUUCUGUAGUAUGGCAGAGACCAAGAGAAAGUACUGUUACAUGGUUACAAGAUCAAGCUCCCAAAGACAUAAGCAAGAGGGAAACCUCAUCCUGUUUCUUCGUUUAUUUCAGGGACCUGUAACAAAGUUUAUUACUGACCAGCUUGCUGGGCUAUCUUGAACAGCAAGCUUAUGGGGUCCUAAGCUUAUGUUCUAUUUUAAGGUACCCCUCUUCAUGGCAGAAUGACACAGAAAGACAAAUUCAUAGCACAAAGUUCACCAGAUUCGUUACAGCUUAAGACUAGCUUCAUGAAUCCUUUUUCCUAUUAAUUAAAACUUUGCAAGAGAUAGUGAUUUUUACCAUUCCCGCAUCCAUUUUGCAGAGUGAAGGAGUGAGAGAGAGAAUUGUCUGCUCUAUCUAAGGUGAGGAGUUCAAGGGGGCCAGAGAAAGACCCACCCAUUGCAGAGACACUGAAUUAAAAGUUCAGGUGGCAGCUGGUUGGUUGAUAAAGAAUCUUUUCCAGCAGUCCCAUCAGCUCUCAACUUUUCCCCUUUGGGGAGAAAAAGUUCCCCAUGUUCCAAAGUUCUGUAUAUGCCUAAUCCUGUCAGCCAUAGCUGUCAGCAAAGAGUGCAAGGCAGAUUAAUCCAAAGAGAAUAGUGGUUAAAAUACCAUAGUGCCAAGUCCAUUUUUGACGAAGAGGGACUUUGCUGCACCCAAUCCCAUCCUUUACCUGGGUAAAAUGUACCCCAUUACUUACCCAAAGUCAGCCAAUUUGUACUGCAGUCUAUUUCCUUUGGAAUGGGAUGGCAACUUAGCUAAAAGGUUAGCAGAUUUCAUUUUUUUAAGUAUAUUAGUCGCUUAAGCUUUUUAUUUACCUUUCACAAAGUUGUUAAAUAAAGAUGCCAAAAUAUUUUU
This 2310-nucleotide long non-coding RNA is filed under the name Pongo abelii (Sumatran orangutan). Its description in RNAcentral is "lincRNA". The record is from RNAcentral. Lineage: Eukaryota; Metazoa; Chordata; Mammalia; Primates; Hominidae.